AACGGUGAUUAAUACUAGAUACACCUUCUUAUCAUAAGGUAAGAAGGGAAAUGUCUUUUCGCUUUGGGAUCAGACUAUAUCCUAUCAGCUAGUUGGUGAGGUAAUGGCUCACCAAGGCAAUGACGGGUAGCGGUUCUGAGAGGAUGAUCCGCCACACUGGUACUGAGACACGGACCAGACUCCUACGGGAGGCAGCAGUGAGGAAUAUUGCACAAUGGGGGGAACCCUGAUGCAGCAACGCCGCGUGGAGGAUGACGCAUUUCGGUGUGUAAACUCCUUUUAUAUGUCAAGAAAAUGACGGUAGCAUAUGAAUAAGCACCGGCUAACUCCGUGCC
Molecule: ribosomal RNA, 335 nt
Filed under: uncultured bacterium
Lineage: Bacteria
Description: bacterial SSU rRNA
Rfam family: Bacterial small subunit ribosomal RNA
Source: RNAcentral